RNAcentral lists this ribosomal RNA (425 nucleotides) under uncultured bacterium. RNAcentral's name for it is "partial 16S ribosomal RNA". It matches the Rfam family "Bacterial small subunit ribosomal RNA", at positions 354 to 796 of the family's 1533-position model. The record is from RNAcentral.
GUGGGGAAUAUUGGACAAUGGGCGCAAGCCUGAUCCAGCCAUGCCGCGUGAGUGAUGAAGGCCUUAGGGUUGUAAAGCUCUUUCACCGAUGAAGAUAAUGACGGUAGUCGGAGAAGAAGCCCCGGCUAACUUCGUGCCAGCAGCCGCGGUAAUACGAAGGGGGCUAGCGUUGUUCGGAUUUACUGGGCGUAAAGCGCACGUAGGCGGUUUGUUAAGUCAGAGGUGAAAUCCCGGAGCUCAACUCCGGAACUGCCUUUGAUACUGGCAAGCUAGAGUCCGGAAGAGGUAAGUGGAACUCCUAGUGUAGAGGUGGAAUUCGUAGAUAUUAGGAAGAACACCAGUGGCGAAGGCGGCUUACUGGUCCGGAACUGACGCUGAGGUGCGAAAGCGUGGGGAGCAAACAGGAUUAGAUACCCUAGUAGUCC